GACGUAGGGUGCGAGCGUUGUCCGGAUUUAUUGGGCGUAAAGAGCUCGUAGGCGGCUCGUCGCGUCGACCGUGAAAACCCGCGGCUUAACUGUGGGUCUGCGGUGGAUACGGGCUGGCUAGAGGUAGGUAGGGGGAAGCGGAAUUCCUGGUGUAGCGGUGAAAUGCGCAGAUAUCAGGAGGAACACCGGUGGCGAAGGCGGCUUGCUGGGCCUUACCUGACGCUGAGGAGCGAAAGCGUGGGGAGCGAACAGG
This 253-nucleotide ribosomal RNA is filed under the name uncultured bacterium. Its description in RNAcentral is "partial 16S ribosomal RNA". It matches the Rfam family "Bacterial small subunit ribosomal RNA", at positions 524 to 776 of the family's 1533-position model. The record is from RNAcentral.